GACGAACGCUGGCGGCGUGCUUAACACAUGCAAGUCGAACGAUGAAGCUGGAGCUUGCUCCGGUGGAUUAGUGGCGAACGGGUGAGUAACACGUGAGAAAUCUGCCCUUGACUCUGGGAUAACUGCGGGAAACUGUAGCUAAUACCGGAUACUUUCACUGGAAGGCAUCUUCUGGUGAAGAAAGAAUUUCGGUCAAGGAUGAGCUCGCGGCCUAUCAGCUUGUGGGUGAGGUAACGGCUCACCAAGGCGACGACGGGUAGCCGGCCUGAGAGGGUGACCGGCCACACUGGGACUGAGACACGGCCCAGACUCCUACGGGAGGCAGCAGUGGGGAAUAUUGCACAAUGGGCGCAAGCCUGAUGCAGCAACGCCGCGUGAGGGAUGAAGGCCUUCGGGUUGUAAACCUCUUUUAGCAGGGAAGAAGCGAAAGUGACGGUACCUGCAGAAAAAGCACCGGCUAACUACGUGCCAGCCGCCGCAGUAA
This 484-nucleotide ribosomal RNA is filed under the name uncultured bacterium. Its description in RNAcentral is "partial 16S ribosomal RNA". It matches the Rfam family "Bacterial small subunit ribosomal RNA", at positions 28 to 523 of the family's 1533-position model. The record is from RNAcentral.